Molecule: ribosomal RNA, 301 nt
Filed under: uncultured bacterium
Lineage: Bacteria
Description: partial 16S ribosomal RNA
Rfam family: Bacterial small subunit ribosomal RNA
Source: RNAcentral
CAGUCGCCGCGGGAACACAGAGGGUGCGAGCGUUAAUCGGAUUUACUGGGCGUAAAGCGUGCGUAGGCGGCUAAUUGAGUCGGAUGUGAAAUCCCCGAGCUUAACUUGGGAAUUGCAUUCGAUACUGGUUAGCUAGAGUGUGGGAGAGGAUGGUAGAAUUCCAGGUGUAGCGGUGAAAUGCGUAGAGAUCUGGAGGAAUACCGAUGGCGAAGGCAGCCAUCUGGCCUAACACUGACGCUGAGGUACGAAAGCAUGGGGAGCAAACAGGAUUAGAUACCCCUGUAGUCCCUGUCUCUUAUAC